GACGAACGCUGGCGGCGUGCUUAACACAUGCAAGUCGAACGGAAAGGCUCCAGCUUGCUGGAGUACUCGAGUGGCGAACGGGUGAGUAACACGUGGGUAAUCUGCCCUUCACUCUGGGAUAAGCCUGGGAAACUGGGUCUAAUACUGGAUAUGACCUUUCUCCUUAUGGGGUUUGGUGGAAAGUUUUUCGGUGUAGGAUGAGCCCGCGGCCUAUCAGCUUGUUGGUGGGGUGAUGGCCUACCAAGGCGACGACGGGUAGCCGGCCUGAGAGGGUGAUCGGCCACAUUGGGACUGAGAUACGGCCCAGACUCCUACGGGAGGCAGCAGUGGGGAAUAUUGCACAAUGGGCGGAAGCCUGAUGCAGCGACGCCGCGUGAGGGAUGACGGCCUUCGGGUUGUAAACCUCUUUCAGCAGGGACGAAGCGUAAGUGACGGUACCUGCAGAAGAAGCACCGGCUAACUACGUG
This 467-nucleotide ribosomal RNA is filed under the name uncultured bacterium. RNAcentral's name for it is "partial 16S ribosomal RNA". It matches the Rfam family "Bacterial small subunit ribosomal RNA", at positions 28 to 507 of the family's 1533-position model. The record is from RNAcentral.